Molecule: ribosomal RNA, 498 nt
Filed under: Anampses twistii (yellowbreasted wrasse)
Lineage: Eukaryota; Metazoa; Chordata; Actinopteri; Labriformes; Labridae
Description: partial 16S ribosomal RNA
Rfam family: Bacterial large subunit ribosomal RNA
Source: RNAcentral
GUGACUUUAAUGUUUAACGGCCGCGGUAUUUUGACCGUGCAAAGGUAGCGCAAUCACUUGUCUUUUAAAUGGAGACCUGUAUGAAUGGCAUCACGAGGGCUUAACUGUCUCCUCUCUUUAGCCAAUGAAAUUGAUCUCCCCGUGCAGAAGCGGGGAUAAAAACAUAAGACGAGAAGACCCUAUGGAGCUUUAGACACCAAGACAGCUUAUGUUAAACAUUCCUAAACAAAGGAUCAAACUAGAUAAACCCUGUCCUAAUGUCUUUGGUUGGGGCGACCUUGGGGAAAUAAACAACCCCCACGUGGAAUGGAAACAUGUUUCCAGAACCAAGAGCCACCGCUCUAAGAAGCAGAACUUCUGACCAGCUAGAUCCGGCAAAGCCGAUCAACGGACCGAGUUACCCUAGGGAUAACAGCGCAAUCCCCUUUUAGAGUCCCUAUCGACAAGGGGUUUACGACCUCGAUGUUGGAUCAGGACAUCCUAAUGGUGCAGCCGCUA